GGCGUGCUUAACACAUGCAAGUCGAACGAUGAAGCCGGAGCUUGCUCUGGGUGAAUUAGUGGCGAACGGGUGAGUAACACGUGAGUAACCUGCCCUUGACUCUGGGAUAACUGCUAGAAAUGGUAGCUAAUACCGGAUACGACCCUCGGCGGCAUCGCCAGGGGGGUGGAAAGAAUUUCGGUCAAGGAUGGACUCGCGGCCUAUCAGCUAGUUGGUGAGGUAACGGCUCACCAAGGCGACGACGGGUAGCCGGCCUGAGAGGGUGACCGGCCACACUAGGACUGAGACACGGCCCAGACUCCUACGGGAGGCAGCAGGUGGGGAAUAUUGCACAAUGGGCGCAAGCCUGAUGCAGCAACGCCGCGUGAGGGAUGACGGCCUUCGGGUUGUAAACCUUCUUUUAGUAGGGAAGAAGCGAAAGUGACGGUACCUGCAGAAAAAGCACCGGCUAACUACGUG
Molecule: ribosomal RNA, 459 nt
Filed under: uncultured bacterium
Lineage: Bacteria
Description: bacterial SSU rRNA
Rfam family: Bacterial small subunit ribosomal RNA
Source: RNAcentral